UACGUAGGGUGCAAGCGUUAAUCGGAAUUACUGGGCGUAAAGCGUGCGCAGGCGGUGAUGUAAGACAGGUGUGAAAUCCCCGGGCUUAACCUGGGAACUGCAUUUGUGACUGCAUCGCUGGAGUGCGGCAGAGGGGGAUGGAAUUCCGCGUGUAGCAGUGAAAUGCGUAGAUAUGCGGAGGAACACCGAUGGCGAAGGCAAUCCCCUGGACCUGUACUGACGCUCAUGCACGAAAGCGUGGGGAGCAAACAGG
Molecule: ribosomal RNA, 253 nt
Filed under: uncultured bacterium
Lineage: Bacteria
Description: partial 16S ribosomal RNA
Rfam family: Bacterial small subunit ribosomal RNA
Source: RNAcentral